AAUGAACGCUGGCGGCAGGCCUAACACAUGCAAGUCGAACGGGCACUUCGGUGCUAGUGGCGGACGGGUGAGUAACGCGUGGGAACGUGCCCCUUGGUACGGAAUAGCCCCGGGAAACUGGGAGUAAUACCGUAUGUGGUCGAGAGACGAAAGAUUUAUCGCCAAGGGAUCGGCCCGCGUUGGAUUAGGUAGUUGGUGGGGUAAUGGCCUACCAAGCCGACGAUCCAUAGCUGGUUUGAGAGGAUGAUCAGCCACACUGGGACUGAGACACGGCCCAGACUCCUACGGGAGGCGGCAGUGGGGAAUCUUAGACAAUGGGGGAAACCCUGAUCUAGCCAUGCCGCGUGAUCGAUGAAGGCCUUAGGGUUGUAAAGAUCUUUCAGGUGGGAAGAUAAUGACUGUACCACCAGAAGAAGCCCCGGCUAACUCCGUGCCAGCCGCCGCCGUAA
RNAcentral lists this ribosomal RNA (449 nucleotides) under uncultured bacterium. Its description in RNAcentral is "partial 16S ribosomal RNA". It matches the Rfam family "Bacterial small subunit ribosomal RNA", at positions 29 to 523 of the family's 1533-position model. The record is from RNAcentral.